GUGAAAUUGUUGAAAGGGAAGCGCUUGCAACCAGACCUGCCUGCAGUUGCUCAUCCGUGGCUUUUGCCCGGUGCACUCUUCUGCUGUCAGGCCAGCAUCAGUUCGGGCGGUCGGAUAAAGGCUUCGGGAAUGUAGCUCCUCUCGGGGAGUGUUAUAGCCCGUUGCGAAAUGCGGCCAGCCUGGACUGAGGUCCGCGCUUCGGCUAGGAUGCUGGCGUAAUGGUUGUAAGCGGCCCGUCUUGAAACACGGACCAAGGAGUCUAACAUCUGUGCGAGUGUUUGGGUGUUAAACCCGUACGCGUAAUGAAAGUGAACGGAGGCGGGAACCCCUCGGGGUGCACCGUCGACCGAUCCUGAUGUCUUCGGAUGGAUUUGAGUAAGAGCAUAGCUGUUGGGACCCGAAAGAUGGUGAACUAUGCCUGAAUAGGGUGAAGCCAGAGGAAACUCUGGUGGAGGCUCGCAGCGGUUCUGACGUGCAAAUCGAUCGUCAAAUUUGGGCAUAGGGGCGAAAGACUAAUCGAACUAUCUAGUAGCUGGUUCCUGCCGAAGUUUCCCUCAGGAUAGCAGUAACGUUUUCAGUUUUAUGAGGUAAAGCGAAUGAUUAGAGGCCUGGGGGUUGAAACAACCUUCACCUAUUCUCAAACUUUAAAUAUGUAAGAAGUCCUUGUUGCUCAGUUGAACGUGGACAUUUGAAUGUAUCGUUACUAGUGGGCCAUUUUUGGUAAGCAGAACUGGCGAUGCGGGAUGA
This 747-nucleotide ribosomal RNA is filed under the name uncultured Ascomycota. Its description in RNAcentral is "LSU rRNA". It matches the Rfam family "Eukaryotic large subunit ribosomal RNA", at positions 399 to 1166 of the family's 3401-position model. Lineage: Eukaryota; Fungi; Ascomycota. The record is from RNAcentral.